Malus domestica (apple) is the source of this 667-nucleotide non-coding RNA. The record is from RefSeq and is a predicted model, not a curated record. NCBI's taxonomy places the organism in Eukaryota, Viridiplantae, Streptophyta, Magnoliopsida, Rosales, Rosaceae.
UGGUGGUGCUAAUUAGAAAGAAAAUGCAGGUUAGUGCCAAAGAGGAAGAGAAAAGUUUGGAUGUGCGAAUGAAUACGAAAUGAUUGGUCGGGUGAGUAUUUAUAGCAAAGGAGUAGGUGAAUGUUGAAGCCUUUGGAAUCAAAGCAAGUUGUCAGCCUUGUAAACAUGAACUCUAACGACAACAAGUGCUCCACGUUACGCGAUUUGCAGAAAUCGGUUUUCAUAAUUGAAACUGUUGCUGAAGCUGGUAAUAUUUGUUGUCGAUAUUGUGAGUGAAGGUAAAGGCAAAGCAUGGGGCAUGCCCCGAAAGCUACGUCAUGACAUACGAGUCCUCGAGGAUCUAUCUGUUUCUUGAGCAAACCGUUGACCCCAUUUACGGCCCUUUGCGCCUCCACCGGAUCUUACCCUCUUGUCUUUAUUUUUGUUUAUUUUUAGUAUUUUUGUCUCUAUGCAUCUUUAUUUAUUCUACUAGUAAUUUAAUAAGUGUGUAUAAUUUUUUUAUGUAUUAUUUAAUACAUUUUUGCGAUAUUUUGUAAUGAGAAUUAAUUGUUACGUAGCAAAUAUUCUACCUAAAUUUUAGAGCAUCUUUAAGGGAGAUGUCAAAUUUUAAACAUCAAAAUGAUAUUUGAUGGCUUAAGUGGUAAUUUGAUAUUUUGUACAAUUUUUU